RNAcentral lists this transfer RNA (69 nucleotides) under Dactylortyx thoracicus. RNAcentral describes it as "tRNA-Arg". Lineage: Eukaryota; Metazoa; Chordata; Aves; Galliformes; Odontophoridae. The record is from RNAcentral.
AGGAAGUUAGUCUAACCCAAGACGGUUGGUUUCGGCCCAACAAAUUAUAGCUCCACCUAUAGCUUCCUC